Oncorhynchus tshawytscha (Chinook salmon) is the source of this 664-nucleotide long non-coding RNA. Lineage: Eukaryota; Metazoa; Chordata; Actinopteri; Salmoniformes; Salmonidae. The record is from Ensembl.
GCGUGGUUGGUUUGCGUUUGGUUUGGAUGGGUUGCGUUUGUGUUGAGUGUGGAUGGUUUGUGUUGGGCGUGGUUGGUUUGUGUAGGCGUAUUUGGUUUGUGUUGGGCGUGGUUGUUUUGCGUUGGGCGUGGUUGGUUUGUGUUGGGCGUUUUUGGUUUGUGUUUGGCCUGGUUGUUUAGUGUUGGGCGUCAUUGUUUUGUGUUGGGCGUGGUUGGUUUGUGUUGGGCGUGGUUGGUUUGUGUUGGGCGUGGUUGUUUUGUGUUGGGCGUGGCUGGUUUGUGUUGGACGUGGUUGUUUUGUGUUGGGCUUGGUUGGUUUGUGUUGUGCGUGGUUGGUUUGUGUUGGGCGUGGUUGGUUUGUGUUGGGCGAGGUUGGUUUGUGUUGGGAUUGGUUGGUUUGUGUUGGGCGGGGUUGGUUUGUGUUGGGCGUGGUUGGUUUGUGUUGGGCGUGGUUGUUUUGUGUUGGGCGUGGUUGGUUUGUGUUGGGCGUGGUUGUUUUGUGUUGGGCUUGGUUGGUUUGUGUUGAGUGUGGUUGGUUUGUGUUGGGCGAGUUUGGUUUGUGUUGGGCAUGGUUGUUUUGUGUUGGGUGUGGUCGGUUUGUGUUAGGCGAGGUUGAUUUGUGUUGUGCGAGGUUAGUUUGUGUUGGGCGACCUUGGUUUGUGUUG